UACGGAAGGCAGCAGUGGGGAAUAUUGCACAAUGGGCGAAAGCCUGAUGCAGCUAUGCCGCGUGUAUGAAGAAGGCCUUAGGGUUGUAAAGUACUUUCAUCGGGGAGGAAAAAACAAAACUAAUAAUUUUAUUUCUUGACGUUACCCGAAAAAGAAGCACCGGCUAACUCCGUGCCAGCAGCCGCGGUAAUACGGAGGGUGCUAGCGUUAAUCAGAAUUACUGGGCGUAAAGAGCACGUAGGUGGUUUUUUUAAAGUCAGAUGUGAAAUCCCUGGGCUUAACCUGGAACUGCAUUUUGAAACUGAAAUACUAGAGUAUCGUAGAGGGAGGUAGAAUUCUAGGUGUAGCGGUGAAAUGCGUAGAUAUCUGGAGGAAUACCUGUGGCGAAAGCGGCCUCCUAAACGAAUACUGACACUGAGGUGCGAAAGAGUGGGGAGCAAACAGGGAUUAGAUACC
Molecule: ribosomal RNA, 456 nt
Filed under: uncultured bacterium
Lineage: Bacteria
Description: bacterial SSU rRNA
Rfam family: Bacterial small subunit ribosomal RNA
Source: RNAcentral